This 419-nucleotide ribosomal RNA is filed under the name bacterium. RNAcentral describes it as "partial 16S ribosomal RNA". It matches the Rfam family "Bacterial small subunit ribosomal RNA", at positions 355 to 776 of the family's 1533-position model. The record is from RNAcentral.
UGGGGGAUAUUGCACAAUGGGCGAAAGCCUGAUGCAGCGACGCCGCGUGGGGGAUGAAGGCUUUCGGGUUGUAAACCUCUUUCGCUAUCGAACAAGGCCCGCUUAGGGUGGGUUGAGGGUAGGUGGAGAAGAAGCGCCGGCUAACUACGUGCCAGCAGCCGCGGUAUACGUAGGGCGCGAGCGUUGUCCGGAAUUAUUGGGCGUAAAGCGCUUGUAGGCGGCUUGUUGCGCCUGCUGUGAAAACGCGGGGCUUAACUUCGCGCGUGCAGUGGGUACGGGCAGGCUUGAGUGUGGUAGGGGUGACUGGAAUUCCAGGUGUAGCGGUGGAAUGCGCAGAUAUCUGGAGGAACACCGAUGGCGAAGGCAGGUCACUGGGCCAUUACUGACGCUGAGGAGCGAAAGCAUGGGUAGCGAACAGG